Molecule: ribosomal RNA, 499 nt
Filed under: uncultured bacterium
Lineage: Bacteria
Description: partial 16S ribosomal RNA
Rfam family: Bacterial small subunit ribosomal RNA
Source: RNAcentral
GACGAACGCUGGCGGCGUGCCUAAUACAUGCAAGUCGAGCGAAGUUUUUCUGGUGCUUGCACUAGAAAAACUUAGCGGCGACCGGGUGAGUAACACGUAAAGAACCUGCCUCAUAGACUGGGACAACUAUUGGAAACGAUAGCUAAUACCGGAUAACAGCAUUAACUGCAUGGUUGAUGUUUAAAAGUUGGUUUUGCUAACACUAUGAGAUGGCUUUGCGGUGCAUUAGCUAGUUGGUGGGGUAAAGGCCUACCAAGGCGACGAUGCAUAGCCGACCUGAGAGGGUGAUCGGCCACACUGGGACUGAGACACGGCCCAGACUCCUACGGGAGGCAGCAGUAGGGAAUCUUCCGCAAUGGGCGAAAGCCUGACGGAGCAACGCCGCGUGAGUGAAGAAGGAUUUCGGUUCGUAAAGCUCUGUUGUUAGGGAAGAAUGAUUGUGUAGUAACGAUACACAGUAGAGACGGUACCUAACCAGAAAGCCACGGCUAACUACGUG